This 71-nucleotide transfer RNA is filed under the name Byctiscus populi. Its description in RNAcentral is "tRNA-Glu". The record is from RNAcentral. Lineage: Eukaryota; Metazoa; Arthropoda; Insecta; Coleoptera; Attelabidae.
AUUUAUAUAGUUUAAUAAAUAAAACAUUACAUUUUCACUGUAAAAACAAAAUAUUUUUAUUUUUAUAAAUA